UACGUAGGCAGAAAAUUAAGUCAGUAGUGAAAUCCUGCGGCUUAACUGUAGAACUGUUAUUGAUACUGGUUUUCUUGAAUAUAGUUGAGGUAGGCGGAAUGUGUAAUGUAGCGGUGAAAUGCUUAGAUAUUACACAGAACACCGAUUGCGAAGGCAGCUUACUAAGCUAUGAUUGACGCUGAGGUACGAAAGCGUGGGGAGCGAACAGGAUUAGAUACCCUGGUAGUCC
This 229-nucleotide ribosomal RNA is filed under the name uncultured bacterium. RNAcentral describes it as "partial 16S ribosomal RNA". It matches the Rfam family "Bacterial small subunit ribosomal RNA", at positions 568 to 796 of the family's 1533-position model. The record is from RNAcentral.